This 234-nucleotide long non-coding RNA is filed under the name Lotus japonicus. Its description in RNAcentral is "long non-coding RNA (LJAP_LNC000296)". Lineage: Eukaryota; Viridiplantae; Streptophyta; Magnoliopsida; Fabales; Fabaceae. The record is from RNAcentral.
UCUCUCUCUCAUCCACCUCAUGCAUGACUACCAAUAAACUUGCCAGAUACGUGGCCCAUGGCACAAUUGAUCAGAAUUUUGAUCCAUUCCUCCACUAGACCUUAGAUCUCUAUCAAAUGCUCAUCCCUAAACAUAUUUCCUUGUCUAACAUAAGUAUCCUUUAUGGAAGGCAAACACGUCCGAGUUGGAAACAUCCACAACCUGAUAGGGUUAGCACUCCCAACAAGAGCUUUU